Molecule: ribosomal RNA, 254 nt
Filed under: uncultured Bacteroidales bacterium
Lineage: Bacteria; Pseudomonadati; Bacteroidota; Bacteroidia; Bacteroidales
Description: partial 16S ribosomal RNA
Rfam family: Bacterial small subunit ribosomal RNA
Source: RNAcentral
UACGGAGGAUGCGAGCGUUAUCCGGAUUUAUUGGGUUUAAAGGGUGCGCAGGCGGUCUGUUAAGUCAGCGGUGAAAUGCCCCCGCUCAACGGGGUGAAGUGCCAUUGAUACUGCCUUGCUGGAAUGCGGAUGCCGUGGGAGGAAUGUGUGGUGUAGCGGUGAAAUGCAUAGAUAUCACACAGAACACCGAUUGCGAAGGCAGCAUACCGGCGCCCGACUGACGCUGAAGCACGAAAGCGUGGGUAUCGAACAGG